GAUGAACGCUGGCGGCGUGCUUAACACAUGCAAGUCGAACGGAAAGGCCUCUGCUUGCAGGGGUACUCGAGUGGCGAACGGGUGAGUAACACGUGGGUGAUCUGCCCUGCACUUCGGGAUAAGCCUGGGAAACUGGGUCUAAUACCGGAUAGGACAAUGGUUUGGAUGCUGUUGUGGAAAGUUUUUCGGUGUGGGAUGAGCUCGCGGCCUAUCAGCUUGUUGGUGGGGUAAUGGCCUACCAAGGCGUCGACGGGUAGCCGGCCUGAGAGGGUGUACGGCCACAUUAGGACUGAGAGACGGCCCAGACUCCUACGGGAGGCAGCAGUGGGGAAUAUUGCACAAUGGGCGCAAGCCUGAUGCAGCGACGCCGCGUGGGGGAUGACGGCCUUCGGGUUGUAAACUCCUUUCGCUAGGGACGAAGCGUUUUUGUGACGGUACCUGGAGAAGAAGCACCGGCUAACUACGUG
RNAcentral lists this ribosomal RNA (467 nucleotides) under uncultured bacterium. Its description in RNAcentral is "partial 16S ribosomal RNA". It matches the Rfam family "Bacterial small subunit ribosomal RNA", at positions 28 to 507 of the family's 1533-position model. The record is from RNAcentral.